RNAcentral lists this ribosomal RNA (407 nucleotides) under uncultured bacterium. Its description in RNAcentral is "partial 16S ribosomal RNA". It matches the Rfam family "Bacterial small subunit ribosomal RNA", at positions 30 to 526 of the family's 1533-position model. The record is from RNAcentral.
AUUGAACGCUGGCGGCAGGCCUAACACAUGCAAGUCGAGCGGAGCGGCGGACGGGUGAGUGAUGCCUAGGAAUCUGCCUGGUGGUGUUGGAUAACGUCCGGCAACGGGCGCUAAUACCGCAUACUAUCAGAUUAGCCUAGGUCGGAUUAGCUAGUUGGUGGGGUAAAGGCCUACAAAGGCGACGAUCCGUAACGGGUCUGAGAGGAUGAUCAGUCAAACUGGAACUGAGAACCGGUCCAGACUCCAACGGGAGGCAGAAGUGGGGAAUAUUGGACAAUGGGCGAAAGCCUGAGGCAGCCAUGCCGCGGGGGGGAAGAAGGUUUUGGGAUUGUAAAGCACUUUAAGUUGGGAGGCGUUACCAAAAGAAUAAGCACCGGCUAACUUCGUGCCAGCAGCCGCGGUAAUAC